This 492-nucleotide ribosomal RNA is filed under the name uncultured bacterium. RNAcentral's name for it is "partial 16S ribosomal RNA". It matches the Rfam family "Bacterial small subunit ribosomal RNA", at positions 29 to 507 of the family's 1533-position model. The record is from RNAcentral.
AGUGAACGCUGGCGGUAGGCCUAACACAUGCAAGUCGAACGGCAGCACAGUAAGCGCUUGCUCUUACGGGUGGCGAGUGGCGGACGGGUGAGGAAUACAUCGGAAUCUACUUUUUCGUGGGGGAUAACGUAGGGAAACUUACGCUAAUACCGCAUACGACCUACGGGUGAAAUCAGGGGAUCUUCGGACCUUGCGCGAUUGAAUGAGCCGAUGUCGGAUUAGCUAGUUGGCGAGGUAAAGGCCCACCAAGGCGACGAUCCGUAGCUGGUCUGAGAGGAUGAUCAGCCACACUGGAACUGAGACACGGUCCAGACUCCUACGGGAGGCAGCAGUGGGGAAUAUUGGACAAUGGGCGCAGGCCUGAUCCAGCAAUACCGCGUGGGUGAAGAAGGCCUUCGGGUUGUAAAGCCCUUUUGUUGGGAAAGAAAAGCAGCAGGUUAAUACCCCGAUGUUCUGACGGUACCCAAAGAAUAAGCACCGGCUAACUUCGUG